This is a non-coding RNA of Potamilus streckersoni, 76 nucleotides long. NCBI's taxonomy places the organism in Eukaryota, Metazoa, Mollusca, Bivalvia, Unionida, Unionidae. The record is from the annotation of a GenBank genome assembly.
GGUUCCGGUGGGCUAGUGGUUAGAGCGUUCGCCUCGGAUUCGGAAGGUCACGGGGUUCGAUCCCUGAGCUGAGUCA